GAGAAACCUUGAAGUUUUGACAUGAGUUUUGACAUAACCAUUACAAUGCAGUGUUUUCUAACUCCAGUUAUCUUUAUAUACAGAUGAAUUCAUCUCAUGUAAGAUUCAAGAUCCUGGUUAUUCCCCCAAAGUAAGAAAUGUUGAGAAUUCAAAGUACGUUUGAGGCCGAAAUAACUGAACUAGAAAAUUCCACUUCCACUGUGGGUACUUUGGCUUUAAAUGUGAAAAUCACUUUGAAUUCCCAUCAAUUCUCACUUUAGUAAACAAACCAUGACUGUUUCUGAAUGAGUGCAGUACAGCCACCAUAGAAUCAGACUAAUUAAAUCUACAAUAUAAAAUCAUGGUUUGAGACUUCACUAGGUUGUUGCUAUGCAUGCCCAUUAGGUAACACAAAUAGAAUUUUGUUUCACACAGUAAUCUAAGUAUGCUAGAUAUUUAUUAUUUUAAUCUAUCUUUUAGGGAGGACAUCUGACAAUGUCGCCCUUGAAGAAGCAAGACUUGAAAGACUAAGAUCUAUUAUUACAUGAGUUGGUGACUUGCAGUUCUCAAUCUACAUUACCGUUUAUUAAUAACAUCUAUUGAUUGCAUUUAUUGGUACACACGGAACAUGCAGUUGAAGCUAGUUAUUGAUAUAGUCAUUAGGCAUUGUAUUUUGUCACAUAAUGAUACUUUAUAAUUCCCAAGACAAACAUGGGAAUAAAAUUACAUUCUCUGGGAAAGUUAAUGUUUCUGCAAGUUUUUCUUUGUGGUUUUUUAUUGCAAGAGUUUAUAGACAGCUAAAGCAUUACAUUCUAUGAAAAAGUAGAUGUUAUUCAAAUUCCUCAGCACUAUCACUUGUGUAAGAUAUGAUAAACAGAAAAAGGACGCACGAUUGUUGAUGUUUGAUCAAAACUACAGAAUGAAAUGAAAGGGAAAUCGAGGGACAAUAAAUAGAAACUUCAUUAUUUACCGGUAAUUACCAGCCAAUGAAUAUAGGGCACUUUAGAGACUUUCCUACAAUACUGACUGCUGUACUAACAAUAUUGAUCUGGUGACAGAUCAGGCAAGAGAAAAAAUGUUGAAUGUGGCGGUGCACAGUCUUAUCUGUGUAUUUUGGAAUUUGUGUGUAUGUUUCUGUUAUUUGAACCGUGUUGUAGAGUUUUCUGUUAAACAUUGGAGUCUGUGAUUACAGAAAAAGGCUCACUGACUUUUGUGCCAUUGAGACACCUUUAUGAGGUUAUUGAAAAGCAUUUUGUUAAAACAAAUAUAUAUUUUGUUGCCUGUUGCAUCACAACUUGAUAUGGCUUUAAUCAUGAUUCAUUUUUAAAUUUUUCCCAUUAUGAAAGCAGUUCUCUUACAAUUUCACUAUAAAGCCUGUUACAAUUUUUAAGAAAGCAGUCAUUUUGGUGUCAUUUAUAAUGGUGAUUCUCCCUCCAUCCACAAAAUUGCCAAACCACAGCUGUGUAUUCCAUAACAAUUAUGGACAUUGGAGAUACAACUGAUCACAGCAUACCGAGGGUGCGUUUCCACGAAAUAAACGUGGACAUUAAUAUUAAUGGUGAUUUUACCAACAGAGCUGUAAUUGCACUGUUAAAAACUAAGCUCAGUCUGGUUAUUUGGUGAUAAUGAGGGUAAAGAGUAUGAAUCUGCAAUCCUUACAUCUUUCAUAUCUUUUUCUAGCAAGUCUACAUGUUACCGGAAUUAUUUGUAAUUUAAAGUAUCUCUGUCAUUGGAAAUAGUCCAUGCCCUGUCAUGUACAUUUUAAACACUGUCUGCACCUUCUGUCAAAUAUACCAACUGUCCCGUUUUUGGCCAGACAUUCCCUAUUUUAGAGUUCUGUUCCACCAUCCCAAUAUUGGGACACCAAGGAACUGUCAUCAGCCUACACCCUUUCAAAGGUGAGUUCGUCAAGUAGUGGCACUGACGACUCCACCAGGUCCCACCCACCCAAUCCUGAUCCCUUACCUCUCAAUGUAUGUUUUGUUGAUCAUUUAUCAAUAUGUUCAGCAGAUAUUUUUUAUUAAACAAAAACAAACAAAAGUUAUCCAGCUAACUUUGAGCAUCAGAUAGAUUUUGAUUGGCUGGUGACAUCCCAUUUUGUUAUUUUUUUCUUAGGUUUGUUUUUUGUUUUCUCAGUAAUUUUGACUGAAGGUUCGAUAACAAUGAUGCAAUUGCAAAAUGGCAACCUCCAUUGGUAAACACUGACAAAUUGUAAAUUGGUAGUUCCACCAUAGCUUGGUUAGAUUAAAAUGAUAUCAAUUUAUUGACAUUAUUGUUUAAAACUUGUUUAUGUAAAAUACAUUUUCAUGUGACAGUGCCUCUUUAACAGUGGGUAUGGUUGGCAUUCAUUGUACAUUAUUAAUAUUUUUUAGUUUAUCUUCCC
Molecule: long non-coding RNA, 2362 nt
Filed under: Pelobates cultripes (western spadefoot toad)
Lineage: Eukaryota; Metazoa; Chordata; Amphibia; Anura; Pelobatidae
Source: RNAcentral